This 830-nucleotide ribosomal RNA is filed under the name Hypoderma rubi. RNAcentral's name for it is "mitochondrial SSU rRNA". It matches the Rfam family "Bacterial small subunit ribosomal RNA", at positions 397 to 1167 of the family's 1533-position model. The record is from RNAcentral. Lineage: Eukaryota; Fungi; Ascomycota; Leotiomycetes; Rhytismatales; Rhytismataceae. RNAcentral also lists the same sequence under 1 other name.
UUGGGGGAAUGUAUAAUCCUCUUAUGAGGCUAGUUGUGUUUUGAAUAAUAAAGGUUAUAAAAUAAACAUAACACCAACUACGUUGGAUAAAAUUCUAGAUAGAAUACUGAUUAUGACUAUUUUCUAUCUAUAUGUCUUGACCAAAUUACGUGCCAGCAGUCGCGGUAAUACGUAGAAGACUAGUGUUAUUCAUCUUUAAUAGGUUUAAAGGGUACCUAGACGGUAUUAUUAGCCCAAAACAGGGAAUUUUUUUUACUAGAGUUUGAUGUAAGAAGGGAGAAUUCAGGGAGUAGAGUUGAAAUUCUUUGAUACCCUGAGGACUGGUAAUGGCGAAAGCACCCUCCUAUGUAAUAACUGACGUUAAGGGACGAAGGCAUGGGGAGCGAACAGGAUUAGAUACCCUAGUAGUCCGUGCAGAUAAUUAUGAGUGCCAUAGACUAGAUAUAUUUUAGUUUAUAAAUGAAAGUGUAAGCAUUCCACCUCAAGAGUACUGUGGCAACGCUGGAACUGAAAUCAUUAGACCGUUUCUGAGAACAGUAGUGAAGUAUGUUAUAUAAUUCGAUAGUCCUCGUAAAACCUUACCACAACUUGAAUUGUGUCCUCUAAAUAUUAAUUCUUUAUUAUUACUCUGGCUAAUAUUACUUAUAACUUGGUUAUUAGUUGUAGUAGUAGUAUUUUUAUUUAUAAUUAUGAUGUUACAAGUGUUGCACGGUUGUCUUCAGCUAAUGUCGUGAGAUUUUGGUUAGUUCCAUAAAAUUAGCGUAAACCCCGGUUUUAUUUUUUAAUUAUUAUAAUAAAGCAGUUCGUCAACUAUAUCCGAUAUAUGAUAA